This is a long non-coding RNA of Strongylocentrotus purpuratus (purple sea urchin), 1564 nucleotides long. RefSeq lists it as uncharacterized. The record is from RefSeq and is a predicted model, not a curated record. NCBI's taxonomy places the organism in Eukaryota, Metazoa, Echinodermata, Echinoidea, Camarodonta, Strongylocentrotidae. The transcript is spliced from 2 exons.
UUUUAUGUUGGUGAGAAUUCUGGAUCCAACCCUACAUAUGAUAUGGAUAUUUCUUUCUCUAUUAAAGGACAUGAACAAAGUUAUAAACUGAUAACUAAUGCAUUUGAUAUUAGCAGGAACCUUACUAAGUUUAUUUUUUCUUUAAAUUGUAGAUCCUAUGGAACAAAGAAGCAGAUAAUGAUCACAGAAGUGCAACAAAGAGCACCAGGACCUGAUCAUCAAAUGUUAUGGUGUAGAUUUAAUCAGGAACAGGACACCUAAGUUGAACUCUGGCAAGGUUGUCCCUUGCAGAAGGUUUGAUACCCAGGCUUCUUUUGUACAAGUCCCUAGUCCACCCUCAUCUUGAGAACUGUUCCGGUGUCUGGGAUCCCUACAACAUCUCGGAUGUCCAGGACGCUUCUUCACAAUGGGGACCACAAGAGAAGCAACAGUUUGACUGAGAUGAUCAGCACCUUUUAGUUGCCUACUAUAUCUACAACUACAAGGCACUCUGCAAGAAGACUGGGAAUGGUGCGCAAGAUAGUCAAUGGUCUCUCCGCUCUUCCUUGAAAAUUUUCCCACUGCACUACUUAUAGCUAUUUGCGCCCUCUAUAUAGCAAACAAUGCCUAAUCUGUGCCUGUUGGUCCCCCAUGAUCCUCUUUUUCUUAUAUUAAUUGAGAGCUGAUUUGAUGAGAUAACCACCUGUCAGUGACCUUGCAGGGUGGUCUUAUCCCCCUGGCCAAACUAGUACAGACGGGCUUUAACAAAUCACGAGCAGGAAGUACCAUGACAUGACCCUCCAGUUGCACCAAGCCAGAAGCGACAUAGGUAGACAAGUUUGCAUUUGCCCAACACUCUAUCCCAAAGUUAAUGGAACUGACUUCCAGCAAAUAUAGUGCAUGCUGACAGUCCAGAGAACUGCCAGGGACUACUUCUGAGGCAUCUACUCUCCUUAUCCCACUUAGAAACCAUCUGUCUUCCUCACACCACUUGUAAUCUUUAGUAUUAGUUCAUCCUCGUGAUAGGCUACAACGCCUUUUGAAGAUUACCAGAAGAAGAAGAAGAAGAUAUAUCGAGGAUCAUGAAAGUAAUCAUUUGUUCUUUUAAAUGCGUGUACAUGUAACAUUUUUUUUGGAUAUUUAAUCUUAAGUCAAGUUCUGACAACAAUAUGAGGGAUAUGCUGAACUGGAUAGUAAAUUGAAGGGGGGGGGGAUAAAGUGAUGUAGUUCAAUAGUAAGACUGUAUUAAUAUAAUUAAUAUUAAUAAUAAUAACAAUAUUAAAAAUAGUAACAAAAAUGACAAUGAUCAUGAUAAUAGCAGUAAUAAUAAUGAUAAUACAGGUAGUAGUAAAAACAAUAAUAAUGUCCAAUGUUAGAUAAAGUACUCAUAAAACUCAGUAUAUACCUGUGCUUUACAUAAUAAAAUAGCAUGUUGGUAUUAUUGAAUAUUUUUUUCUUCAAAAUCUACAGUAAAUUUUUACAACUGAAAGAUUUGAAUUCAAGAGACAGCAUCCCCCCAUCCAUUUUUCAUCCUUUUGUUAAUGUCAUGUUGGAUUUAAAAAGACUUUGUAGAAACAAAAUAUGU